Molecule: small nuclear RNA, 138 nt
Organism: Macrosteles quadrilineatus (aster leafhopper)
Lineage: Eukaryota; Metazoa; Arthropoda; Insecta; Hemiptera; Cicadellidae
Product: U4 spliceosomal RNA
Exons: 1
Source: RefSeq, a predicted model, not a curated record
AACUUUGCGCAGUGCCAAUAUCAUAACCAAUGAAGUCAAACUGAGUUUCGAUUAUUGCUGAUUGGAAAUAUUUGACUCGAAGUGAAUAAAAAUGCCUUGCAACAAAGAAGAUGGAUUUUUUGUCAUAUUAUUUAUAAA